CGCGGUCCUCGGGGAGCCCCGCAGCCCCACGGCGCCUCCUUCUCCACCCCCAGCACCCCACUGGAGCGGUCGCCGCCGGGCAGCGCUCUUUUUGACGAGGAGAGCCUCCGCGGGAAGCGGAGCCCCGGCUGCGAGCUGCCCUUCCUGGCGCGCACCCCCUCGGCCCUGGCGCUGAGCGGCACCGCCAGCCCCGCCAACAGCAUCUUCUCCUCGCCCCGCCGCUGGCUGCAGCAGAGGAAGGGGCAGCCCUCGUCGCCCGAGCCUCGCCCCGCCGCCUACGUCGUGUGGAAAUCCGAGCCAUUUCAGUUCAUGCAACAAAGCAGAAGAGGUCCAGAUCCCUACUACACUGCCUCCCAGGAUGUUGUUCACAAAUCAGGAAGAGGAAAGUUGCAUGUAGAGGACUAUAUCCCCACUAAAGGUGAGACAGCAAAAUGAAAAUCAAAAUCCUGGACUCUGGAGAUUAGAGAUGGAGAUGUCAAUCUCUUGCAGUCCCUGAACUCCUGCUUCAGCAAGCUCCUACCAAUAGCCAGUUUGUUCUGUAGGAUAUGGCAAGAUGCUUUUUAUUACCUCUGUUGACAACCACUUCCUACUCUCCAUGCAUGCAAGAAGUUUUAUGGGCCCUGAGCUGUCACCUUCUCCCCCCUUUGAACUUGCAUCCUUGGAUGAAAUCUGGACCCUCUUGCAGACCUUCUUCCUUGCAUAUUUGUUUAAUUUCAUGCUGAGUUGACUGACUUCUUGCUCUGGACUUUGUCUUGAUGUGACCAUAUUUUGUUUUCAGUAUAAAAAGUUGCAGUAAACCUAUUUCCUAUUUUAUAGUUGUAAUUCUUUAAUUUAGUACAUUUUAAUGUAUCUGUCCAUUUUUUUUUUGGUGUGUAUAUAAUAUUAAAUAGGGAAGAAAAGUCAGGAUGAUUUGAAGGAAAGCUUU
Molecule: long non-coding RNA, 925 nt
Filed under: Parus major (Great Tit)
Lineage: Eukaryota; Metazoa; Chordata; Aves; Passeriformes; Paridae
Description: lncRNA (ENSPMJG00000011531.1)
Source: RNAcentral